ACGGGAGGCAGCAGUGGGGAAUAUUGGACAAUGGGGGAAACCCUGACCCAGCGACGCCGCGUGAGUGAAGAAGUAUUUCGGUAUGUAAAGCUCUAUCAGCAGGGAAGAUAAUGACGGUACCUGACUAAGAAGCCCCGGCUAACUACGUGCCAGCAGCCGCGGUAAUACGUAGGGGGCAAGCGUUAUCCGGAUUUACUGGGUGUAAAGGGAGCGUAGACGGAAGGCCAAGUCUGAUGUGAAAACCCAGGGCUCAACCCUGGGACUGCACUGGAAACUGGUCAUCUAGAGUGCAGGAGGGGUAAGCGGAAUUCCUAGUGUAGCGGUGAAAUGCGUAGAUAUUAGGAGGAACACCAGUGGCGAAGGCGGCUUACUGGACUGUAACUGACGUUGAGGCUCGAAAGCGUGGGGAGCAAACAGGAUUAGAUACCCUGGUA
RNAcentral lists this ribosomal RNA (434 nucleotides) under uncultured Lachnospiraceae bacterium. RNAcentral's name for it is "partial 16S ribosomal RNA". It matches the Rfam family "Bacterial small subunit ribosomal RNA", at positions 341 to 792 of the family's 1533-position model. Lineage: Bacteria; Bacillati; Bacillota; Clostridia; Lachnospirales; Lachnospiraceae. The record is from RNAcentral.